This 497-nucleotide ribosomal RNA is filed under the name Staphylococcus pseudintermedius. RNAcentral's name for it is "partial 23S ribosomal RNA". It matches the Rfam family "Bacterial large subunit ribosomal RNA", at positions 407 to 906 of the family's 2925-position model. Lineage: Bacteria; Bacillati; Bacillota; Bacilli; Caryophanales; Staphylococcaceae. The record is from RNAcentral.
CCUGAGUACGACGGAGCACGUGAAAUUCCGUCGGAAUCUGGGAGGACCAUCUCCUAAGGCUAAAUACUCUCUAGUGACCGAUAGUGAACCAGUACCGUGAGGGAAAGGUGAAAAGUACCCCGGAAGGGGAGUGAAAGAGAACUUGAAACCGUGUGCUUACAAGUAGUCAGAGCCCGUUAAUGGGUGAUGGCGUGCCUUUUGUAGAAUGAACCGGCGAGUUACGAUCUGAUGCAAGGUUAAGCAGAAAAUGUGGAGCCGUAGCGAAAGCGAGUCUGAAUAGGGCGAAUGAGUAUUUGGUCGUAGACCCGAAACCAGGUGAUCUACCCUUGGUCAGGUUGAAGUUCAGGUAACACUGAAUGGAGGACCGAACCGACUUACGUUGAAAAGUGAGCGGAUGAACUGAGGGUAGCGGAGAAAUUCCAAUCGAACUUGGAGAUAGCUGGUUCUCUCCGAAAUAGCUUUAGGGCUAGCCUCAAGUGAUGAUUAUUGGAGGUAGA